This 77-nucleotide transfer RNA is filed under the name Shewanella oncorhynchi. RNAcentral describes it as "tRNA-Lys". It matches the Rfam family "tRNA". Rfam says of the family: Transfer RNA (tRNA) molecules are approximately 80 nucleotides in length. Their secondary structure includes four short double-helical elements and three loops (D, anti-codon, and T loops). The record is from RNAcentral. Lineage: Bacteria; Pseudomonadati; Pseudomonadota; Gammaproteobacteria; Alteromonadales; Shewanellaceae.
GGGUCGUUAGCUCAGUCGGUAGAGCAGUUGGCUUUUAACCAAUCAGUCGAAUGGUUCUAAUCCUUAAUGACACACCA